Molecule: ribosomal RNA, 677 nt
Filed under: uncultured Bacillus sp.
Lineage: Bacteria; Bacillati; Bacillota; Bacilli; Caryophanales; Bacillaceae
Description: bacterial SSU rRNA
Rfam family: Bacterial small subunit ribosomal RNA
Source: RNAcentral
GGCGGACGGGUGAGUAACACGUGGGCAACCUGCCUGUAAGACUGGGAUAACUUCGGGAAACCGGAGCUAAUACCGGAUAAUCCUUUUCCUCUCAUGAGGGAAAGCUGAAAGACGGUUUCGGCUGUCACUUACAGAUGGGCCCGCGGCGCAUUAGCUAGUUGGUGAGGUAACGGCUCACCAAGGCGACGAUGCGUAGCCGACCUGAGAGGGUGAUCGGCCACACUGGGACUGAGACACGGCCCAGACUCCUACGGGAGGCAGCAGUAGGGAAUCUUCCGCAAUGGACGAAAGUCUGACGGAGCAACGCCGCGUGAACGAUGAAGGCCUUCGGGUCGUAAAGUUCUGUUGUCAGGGAAGAACAAGUACCGGAGUAACUGCCGGUACCUUGACGGUACCUGACCAGAAAGCCACGGCUAACUACGUGCCAGCAGCCGCGGUAAUACGUAGGUGGCAAGCGUUGUCCGGAAUUAUUGGGCGUAAAGCGCGCGCAGGCGGUUCCUUAAGUCUGAUGUGAAAGCCCCCGGCUCAACCGGGGAGGGUCAUUGGAAACUGGGGAACUUGAGUGCAGAAGAGGAGAGCGGAAUUCCACGUGUAGCGGUGAAAUGCGUAGAGAUGUGGAGGAACACCAGUGGCGAAGGCGGCUCUCUGGUCUGUAACUGACGCUGAGGCGCGAAAGC